AGUGAACGCUGGCGGUAGGCCUAACACAUGCAAGUCGAACGGCAGCACAGUAAGAGCUUGCUCUUACGGGUGGCGAGUGGCGGACGGGUGAGGAAUACAUCGGAAUCUACUUUUUCGUGGGGGAUAACAUAGGGAAACUUACGCUAAUACCGCAUACGACCUACGGGUGAAAGCAGGGGAUCUUCGGACCUUGCGCGAUUGAAUGAGCCGAUGUCGGAUUAGCUAGUUGGCGGGGUAAAGGCCCACCAAGGCGACGAUCCGUAGCUGGUCUGAGAGGAUGAUCAGCCACACUGGAACUGAGACACGGUCCAGACUCCUACGGGAGGCAGCAGUGGGGAAUAUUGGACAAUGGGCGCAAGCCUGAUCCAGCCAUACCGCGUGGGUGAAGAAGGCCUUCGGGUUGUAAAGCCCUUUUGUUGGGAAAGAAAAGCAGCAGGUUAAUACCCCGCUGUUCUGACGGUACCAAAGAAUAAGCACCGGCUAACUUCGUG
This 491-nucleotide ribosomal RNA is filed under the name uncultured bacterium. RNAcentral's name for it is "partial 16S ribosomal RNA". It matches the Rfam family "Bacterial small subunit ribosomal RNA", at positions 29 to 507 of the family's 1533-position model. The record is from RNAcentral.